This 253-nucleotide ribosomal RNA is filed under the name uncultured bacterium. RNAcentral describes it as "partial 16S ribosomal RNA". It matches the Rfam family "Bacterial small subunit ribosomal RNA", at positions 524 to 776 of the family's 1533-position model. The record is from RNAcentral.
UACGGAGGAUCCAAGCGUUAUCCGGAUUUAUUGGGUUUAAAGGGUGCGUAGGCGGCCUGUUAAGUCAGGGGUGAAAGACGGUAGCUCAACUAUCGCAGUGCCCUUGAUACUGAUGGGCUUGAAUGUACUUGAGGUAGGCGGAAUGUGACAAGUAGCGGUGAAAUGCAUAGAUAUGUCACAGAACACCAAUUGCGAAGGCAGCUUACUAAAGUAUGAUUGACGCUGAGGCACGAAAGCGUGGGGAUCAAACAGG